AUAAAAACCCACCAUGGACUAUGCAAUUUUGAUAUAAGGGGUGGGGCGGAGCCGGACAUGGUAACCGCUCGGAAGUCUAGGCUGCUGGGUUGGAGGGAGGAGGAGGGACCGGUAUCUGCUGCCGCUGCCACUGCCGCCGGUGCUCCAACCUGUUCCGUGUGGCCCACGCUGGCCUUGCCGCGGCCAUGAUGAUCCAUGGCUUCCAGAGCAGCCACCAGGACUUCUCCUUCGGGCCGUGGAAGCUAACGGCGUCCAAGACCCACAUCAUGAAGUCGGCGGAUGUGGAGAAGUUAGCUGAUGAAUUGCAUAUGCCAUCUCUCCCCGAAAUGAUGUUUGGAGACAAUGUUUUAAGAAUCCAGCAUGGCUCUGGCUUUGGAAUUGAGUUCAAUGCUACAGAUGCAUUAAGAUGUGUGAACAACUACCAAGGAAUGCUUAAAGCAGCCUGUGCUGAAGAGUGGCAGGAAAGCAGGACGGAGGGUGAACACUCUAAAGAGGUUAUUAAACCAUAUGAUUGGACCUAUACAACGGAUUAUAAGGGAACAUUACUUGGAGAAUCACUUAAGUUAAAGGUUGUACCUACAACAGAUCAUAUAGAUACAGAGAAACUGAAAGCCAGAGAACAGAUUAAGUUUUUCGAAGAAGUUCUCCUAUUUGAGGAUGAACUUCAUGAUCAUGGAGUUUCAAGCCUGAGUGUGAAAAUUAGAGUAAUGCCUUCUAGCUUUUUCUUGCUGUUGCGAUUUUUCUUGAGAAUUGAUGGGGUGCUUAUUAGAAUGAAUGACACAAGACUUUACCAUGAGGCUGACAAGACCUACAUGUUACGAGAAUAUACAUCACGAGAGAGCAAAAUUGCUAAUUUAAUGCAUGUUUCACCUUCCCUCUUCACGGAACCUAAUGAAAUAUCACAGUAUUUACCAAUAAAGGAGGCAGUUUGUGAGACGCUAAUAUUUCCAGAAAGGAUCCUAAACCCUGCAGGCUCAAAAGAAUGUACACCUGUGGAAUAGAAUGUGUUAUGACAUAUAUUCACUGUGGAAUCUGACUGGCUAUUUGGAGGGGGGUAUUUUUAUUUUGAGAAUUAAUUGCCUUGUCUAUGUGCAGAUUUUCUGUAACCUUAAAGGAAAAAAAAAAAUAAAGGAUUGUUGCAGGCAGAUUCCACUCAAAAAAAAAAAAAAU
This is an RNA transcript of Capra hircus (goat), 1170 nucleotides long. It is a transcript of the gene named TIP41-like protein pseudogene, with no coding region annotated. Lineage: Eukaryota; Metazoa; Chordata; Mammalia; Artiodactyla; Bovidae. The record is from RefSeq and is a predicted model, not a curated record. The transcript has a single exon.